Prionailurus viverrinus (fishing cat) is the source of this 976-nucleotide long non-coding RNA. RefSeq lists it as uncharacterized. The record is from RefSeq and is a predicted model, not a curated record. The transcript is spliced from 3 exons. NCBI's taxonomy places the organism in Eukaryota, Metazoa, Chordata, Mammalia, Carnivora, Felidae.
GAGGAUAGACCCUCACUGAGCCACUAAAGGCUCCUGGCCGGGUAGCGACGCCAGCAGACAUUUGCUAGAUCUCUGCUCUUUUGGCUAAAAGAUUGAGUCCUGACAAGACACUGACUUGGUUGACCAUUCAGGUUCCCAUGGAGAAGAGAAACUGAGGAGACGGACUCAGUUCUGACUCAUCUGCAUAAGGGGCAAAAGGAACACUUCACUGUAUGUGUGAAAACCAGAGAGAGAAGGCCAGGCAAGAACAGCAUAUUCCAUAGCAGUGACUUUCACAAAUGCUUGCAGAGGACACAAAAAGUACACAGAGCAGAGACAAGGACGAGGUGUGGGCUGACCUGGAGUGGCGUUGGGGGGCUGCCUGGUGUAGGAUACGUUGAAGGCGGGCUCCUCGAUCAGCGGUGGGGGAUACAUGCGCCUCCGGAUGAAGAAGCCAGCUCCGCAGCAGAAGAGCACGCCCAUCAUCAAAAGGAACCUGAGCGAGAGCACAGCGAAACAUGGGAAGUCAUUCUGAGAAGGGCCAAGUUGUCUGUCCUGCACAGACACGGCUGCGAAACUGUGAUGGGACUCGUGGAACCUUCCAGAACCUCACUCAUGCCCACACUUUGUGGGCAGCCUACUGCCUUGUGAAAGAUGAAUGAGCAGGAGAGCCCGCUGCAUUGUGGUCAAAGGCAUGUGACCACACAAAAACGAAAUUUAAGAAAAAAGGAGGCGAUAAAGUCUUUAAGAAUAUGAAUACGAUGUUAAGUGUAAGUCCAUCAGUUGGUCAGGAAAUGAUUUGGGAAAGGGCUGAAAUUGUGGCUAUCGGACCUGUCUUCUAGUUCAUUAUUCAUUCAAUAAUGUUGAACCACCUGCUCUGGUCCUAGAACCAUGUUGCGCAUUAUAGAGAGUAAGGUAAAGUCCCUUCCCACCCACUAAACCUGAAUUGUGAUAGAGGAGGGGGACGGCAAACAACAAAUUUACAAAAUCACUGAUU